AGUGAACGCUGGCGGUAGGCCUAACACAUGCAAGUCGAACGGCAGCACAGGAGAGCUUGCUCUCUGGGUGGCGAGUGGCGGACGGGUGAGGAAUACAUCGGAAUCUACUCUGUCGUGGGGGAUAACGUAGGGAAACUUACGCUAAUACCGCAUACGACCUACGGGUGAAAGCAGGGGACCUUCGGGCCUUGCGCGAUUGACUGAGCCGAGGUCGGAUUAGCUAGUUGGCGGGGUAAAGGCCCACCAAGGCGACGAUCCGUAGCUGGUCUGAGAGGAUGAUCAGCCACACUGGAACUGAGACACGGUCCAGACUCCUACGGGAGGCAGCAGUGGGGAAUAUUGGACAAUGGGCGCAAGCCUGAUCCAGCCAUACCGCGUGGGUGAAGAAGGCCUUCGGGUUGUAAAGCCCUUUUGUUGGGAAAGAAAUCCAGCUGGCUAAUACCCGGUUGGGAUGACGGUACCCAAAGAAUAAGCACCGGCUAACUUCGUGCCAGCAGCCGCCGUAA
RNAcentral lists this ribosomal RNA (506 nucleotides) under uncultured bacterium. RNAcentral describes it as "partial 16S ribosomal RNA". It matches the Rfam family "Bacterial small subunit ribosomal RNA", at positions 29 to 523 of the family's 1533-position model. The record is from RNAcentral.